RNAcentral lists this ribosomal RNA (802 nucleotides) under Aquimarina sp. AU419_Ted2_MB20. Its description in RNAcentral is "bacterial SSU rRNA". It matches the Rfam family "Bacterial small subunit ribosomal RNA", at positions 60 to 860 of the family's 1533-position model. Lineage: Bacteria; Pseudomonadati; Bacteroidota; Flavobacteriia; Flavobacteriales; Flavobacteriaceae. The record is from RNAcentral.
AGUCGAGGGGUAACAUAGUUGCUUGCAACUGAUGACGACCGGCGCACGGGUGCGUAACGCGUAUAGUACCUACCUUAUAGUAAGGGAUAGCCCAGAGAAAUUUGGAUUAAUACCUUAUAGUAUCUUAAGUGAGCCUUCACUAAGGAUUAAAGAUUUAUCGCUAUAAGAUGGCUAUGCGUUCUAUUAGCUAGUUGGUAUGGUAACGGCAUACCAAGGCUACGAUAGAUAGGGGUCCUGAGAGGGAGAUCCCCCACACUGGUACUGAGACACGGACCAGACUCCUACGGGAGGCAGCAGUGAGGAAUAUUGGACAAUGGAGGCAACUCUGAUCCAGCCAUGCCGCGUGUAGGAAGACUGCCCUAUGGGUUGUAAACUACUUUUAUAGAGGAAGAAACCAUUUCACGUGUGAAAUGCUGACGGUACUCUACGAAUAAGGAUCGGCUAACUCCGUGCCAGCAGCCGCGGUAAUACGGAGGAUCCAAGCGUUAUCCGGAAUCAUUGGGUUUAAAGGGUCCGUAGGCGGUUUAGUAAGUCAGUGGUGAAAGUUUUCGGCUCAACCGGAAAAUUGCCAUUGAUACUGCAAGACUUGAAUUAUUGUGAAGUGGUUAGAAUGUGUAGUGUAGCGGUGAAAUGCAUAGAUAUUACACAGAAUACCGAUUGCGAAGGCAGAUCACUAACAAUUAAUUGACGCUAAGGGACGAAAGCGUGGGUAGCGAACAGGAUUAGAUACCCUGGUAGUCCACGCCGUAAACGAUGGUUACUAGCUGUUCGGACUUCGGUCUGAGUGGCUAAGCGAAAGUGA